RNAcentral lists this RNase P RNA (399 nucleotides) under human gut metagenome. RNAcentral's name for it is "Bacterial RNase P class A". It matches the Rfam family "Bacterial RNase P class A". Rfam says of the family: Ribonuclease P (RNase P) is a ubiquitous endoribonuclease, found in archaea, bacteria and eukarya as well as chloroplasts and mitochondria. Its best characterised activity is the generation of mature 5'-ends of tRNAs by cleaving the 5'-leader elements of precursor-tRNAs. The record is from RNAcentral.
CGGUCGGAUAGCCGCGUCACGGAAGGUAAAAUCCGCUGAUGAGGAAAGUCCGGGCUUCAUGGAAACAAGACACCGGAUAACGUCCGGCUGGAGAAAUCCAAGGGAAAGUACCGCAGAAAAUUACCGCCGGAGUGCGCUCCGGUAAGGUUGAAAAGGCGAGGUAAGAGCUCACCGCAAAACCGGUAACGGUUUUGGCCAAGGCAAACCCUGUCUGAAGCAAGACCAAGUUAGGAGGGCCGUUCGACAGAACGGUUAUAGGGAGCGUUUCCACUCUUCUCCAGAGGUAGGUCGCACUGAGCAGUUCCGGCAACGGACUGCCAAGAUGAAUGGCUAUCAAUCCAGGCCUUUGCCGCAAGGCAAAGAUAGCGGGAUACAGAACCCGGCUUACAGACUGCCUGU